GCAGACGAUAGACUCUUGGGUCUCAGAAGUAAGGCAUUGGGUUUACUCUCACAGCAUACAUCCCCAAGAGAACUCUUGGUUCAUGUGUUUGUUAUAUACUUUAUGAUAGUUUUACAGCAUGCAUAACUUCAGGAUACCGAAUAUUAAUUUAUGUCAACUGUAAUAGAAAAAAGAAGCUCACACUUUGCUCAUCUGCUAUAAUCCUAUUGUGAUCAUUCUUUGUACCCAAAGGUUGGUGCUGUGGUGUGACUGACUUUCAGCAUCCGCCCUUCCCUGGAGGGUGGUUCCUAGAAUACAAAGAUCUGACUUUUGACACCAGCUCCCCAGGCUGGAAAGUAAAACUCCACACGUUACAGAGAAGUUGGGACUAGCCACAUCUUCACUUCUCUCUGUGGAGACCUUUGACUUCUUCACAGUGACCCUAGAGAUGAGGGUGACACAUGUCCUCUCUGGGCGGGUUUCCUCUAGUGAAGCACAAUCCAGAACUGAGGUGGCAGCCAGGUUCAUUUGCAGUCCUCCUUUUGCACUUGUCAUUCAGAAAUGCCUCAAGUACAGACAAGGUUGUAGGGACAGAAGUGCUGCAUGCAUUCCCUUCUCUGCCAGUGGAUUUGUAGCCUAAGGAGGCCAUGAGCGCCCCAGAGACCAUGGCGGGGCUUUUUUUUUUUUCCUGCACCUUGAGCAAACUAACUGUUCUUAGAUGGAAAAACAGAGUUGUUUUGUAAAUAUAAUGUAUAGAAAAGGCUAGUCAGCACAUUUUUAAAUCUUAGCUUUGUUACUAUGAUUGCUAAGUACUAAGUAAUACCUAAAAUAAAAACCCCUGAAUAUCUGUUC
RNAcentral lists this long non-coding RNA (831 nucleotides) under Rattus norvegicus (Norway rat). RNAcentral's name for it is "long non-coding RNA NONRATT018586". The record is from RNAcentral. Lineage: Eukaryota; Metazoa; Chordata; Mammalia; Rodentia; Muridae.